UGUAUAAUGGGUCAGCGACUUAUAUUCUGUAGCAAGGUUAACCGAAUAGGGGAGCCGAAGGGAAACCGAGUCUUAACUGGGCGUUAAGUUGCAGGGUAUAGACCCGAAACCCGGUGAUCUAGCCAUGGGCAGGUUGAAGGUUGGGUAACACUAACUGGAGGACCGAACCGACUAAUGUUGAAAAAUUAGCGGAUGACUUGUGGCUGGGGGUGAAAGGCCAAUCAAACCGGGAGAUAGCUGGUUCUCCCCGAAAGCUAUUUAGGUAGCGCCUCGUGAACUCAUCUCCGGGGGUAGAGCACUGUUUCGGCAAGGGGGUCAUCCCGACUUACCAACCCGAUGCAAACUGCGAAUACCGGAGAAUGUUAUCACGGGAGACACACGGCGGGUGCUAACGUCCGUCGUGAAGAGGGAAACAACCCAGACCGCCAGCUAAGGUCCCAAAGUCAUGGUUAAGUGGGAAACGAUGUGGGAAGGCCCAGACAGCCAGGAUGUUGGCUUAGAAGCAGCCAUCAUUUAAAGAAAGCGUAAUAGCUCACUGGUCGAGUCGGCCUGCGCGGAAGAUGUAACGGGGCUAAACCAUG
RNAcentral lists this ribosomal RNA (581 nucleotides) under Escherichia coli. RNAcentral's name for it is "partial 23S ribosomal RNA". It matches the Rfam family "Bacterial large subunit ribosomal RNA", at positions 609 to 1191 of the family's 2925-position model. Lineage: Bacteria; Pseudomonadati; Pseudomonadota; Gammaproteobacteria; Enterobacterales; Enterobacteriaceae. The record is from RNAcentral.